Molecule: ribosomal RNA, 570 nt
Filed under: uncultured fungus
Lineage: Eukaryota; Fungi
Description: eukaryotic LSU rRNA
Rfam family: 5.8S ribosomal RNA (bases 208-361)
Source: RNAcentral
CGUAACAAGGUCUCCGUAGGUGAACCUGCGGAGGGAUCAUUACACAAAUAUGAAGGCGGGCUGGAACCUCUCGGGGUUACAGCCUUGCUGAAUUAUUCACCCUUGUCUUUUGCGUACUUCUUGUUUCCUUGGUGGGUUCGCCCACCACUAGGACAAACAUAAACCUUUUGUAAUUGCAAUCAGCGUCAGUAACAAAUUAAUAAUUACAACUUUCAACAACGGAUCUCUUGGUUCUGGCAUCGAUGAAGAACGCAGCGAAAUGCGAUAAGUAGUGUGAAUUGCAGAAUUCAGUGAAUCAUCGAAUCUUUGAACGCACAUUGCGCCCUUUGGUAUUCCAAAGGGCAUGCCUGUUCGAGCGUCAUUUGUACCCUCAAGCUUUGCUUGGUGUUGGGCGUCUUGUCUCUAGCUUUGCUGGAGACUCGCCUUAAAGUAAUUGGCAGCCGGCCUACUGGUUUCGGAGCGCAGCACAAGUCGCGCUCUCUAUCAGCAAAGGUCUAGCAUCCAUUAAGCCUUUUUUUCAACUUUUGACCUCGGAUCAGGUAGGGAUACCCGCUGAACUUAAGCAUAUCA